AUGGCGACCGGCGCACGGGUGAGUAACACGUAUCCAACCUGCCGAUAACUCGGGGAUAGCCUUUCGAAAGAAAGAUUAAUACCCGAUGGUAUAAUCAGACCGCAUGGUUUGAUUAUUAAAGAAUUUCGGUUAUCGAUGGGGAUGCGCUCCAUUAGGCAGUUGGUGAGGUAACGGCUCACCAAACCUUCGAUGGAUAGGGGUUCUGAGAGGAAGGUCCCCCACAUUGGAACUGAGACACGGUCCAA
This 245-nucleotide ribosomal RNA is filed under the name uncultured bacterium. RNAcentral describes it as "partial 16S ribosomal RNA". It matches the Rfam family "Bacterial small subunit ribosomal RNA", at positions 88 to 334 of the family's 1533-position model. The record is from RNAcentral.